CUAAUACCGCAUAUUAUCUGAGGAUGAAAGCGGGGGACUAAGCAGCAAUGUUUUGGCCUCGCGCCUUUUGGAGCGGCCGAUGUCAGAUUAGGUAGUUGGUGGGGUAAAGGCCUACCAAGCCGACGAUCUGUAGCUGGUCUGAGAGGACGACCAGCCACACUGGGACUGAGACACGGCCCAGACUCCUACGGGAGGCAGCAGUGGGGAAUUUUGGACAAUGGGCGCAAGCCUGAUCCAGCAAUGCCGCGUGCAGGAAGAAGGCCUUCGGGUUGUAAACUGCUUUUGUACGGAACGAAAAGGCUCUGGUUAAUACCUGGGGCUCAUGACGGUACCGUAAGAAUAAGCACCGGCUAACUACGUG
RNAcentral lists this ribosomal RNA (361 nucleotides) under uncultured bacterium. RNAcentral's name for it is "bacterial SSU rRNA". It matches the Rfam family "Bacterial small subunit ribosomal RNA", at positions 163 to 507 of the family's 1533-position model. The record is from RNAcentral.